CGAGCGCAUGAGUUGUUCUUGACCUGUGACUACCGGUUGGACCCCCGCUGUUGUGCGGCCGACUGCCGGUGCUAGUGUCUCUUCAAUCGUUGGCUUAAUGUUGGCCUAUGGUUUUGACGAGUGCUUGCGUGCUGCUACCAAUAACACUGGAAGUUGCAUUGCUAAAUGUUGUUUUGCCGUGCAUGCCCUAAGGGCAUGUCACGUCAACUACAAAGCGCUCAUGGCGUUGCCUCGUGUAGCUAGCCGCAUUGUCUAGCUGCAUCAAGGCCACCUCAUGGACGCUAUUGGUCUUGGAUGCGGCCCGCUAUAAAGGCUGACGGUGCUUUGGCAUCUCAUGCCUACAAAAUAUUGUCCGUUCGAAACUACGACAGUUGGCCUGGCUGAUGCCUCGUGCGGAAGUCAGUGCU
RNAcentral lists this unclassified non-coding RNA (407 nucleotides) under Paspalum fimbriatum. RNAcentral describes it as "partial external transcribed spacer". Lineage: Eukaryota; Viridiplantae; Streptophyta; Magnoliopsida; Poales; Poaceae. The record is from RNAcentral.